Molecule: ribosomal RNA, 429 nt
Filed under: Actinomycetes bacterium
Lineage: Bacteria; Bacillati; Actinomycetota; Actinomycetes
Description: Actinobacteria bacterium partial 16S ribosomal RNA
Rfam family: Bacterial small subunit ribosomal RNA
Source: RNAcentral
UAGGGAAUCUUCCGCAAUGGGCGAAAGCCUGACGGAGCAACGCCGCGUGAGUGAUGAAGGUCUUCGGAUCGUAAAACUCUGUUAUUAGGGAAGAACAAAUGUGUAAGUAACUAUGCACGUCUUGACGGUACCUAAUCAGAAAGCCACGGCUAACUACGUGCCAGCAGCCGCGGUAAUACGUAGGUGGCAAGCGUUAUCCGGAAUUAUUGGGCGUAAAGCGCGCGUAGGCGGUUUUUUAAGUCUGAUGUGAAAGCCCACGGCUCAACCGUGGAGGGUCAUUGGAAACUGGAAAACUUGAGUGCAGAAGAGGAAAGUGGAAUUCCAUGUGGAGCGGUGAAAUGCGCAGAGAUAUGGAGGAACACCAGUGGCGAAGGCGACUUUCUGGUCUGUAACUGACGAUGAUGUGCGAAAGCGUGGGGAUCAAAAAGG